This 253-nucleotide ribosomal RNA is filed under the name uncultured bacterium. RNAcentral's name for it is "partial 16S ribosomal RNA". It matches the Rfam family "Bacterial small subunit ribosomal RNA", at positions 524 to 776 of the family's 1533-position model. The record is from RNAcentral.
UACGUAGGGUGCAAGCAUUAAUCGGAGUUACUGGGCGUAAAGCGCGCGCAGGCGGAUGGAUAAGUCAGAUGUGAAAUACAAAAGCUCAACUUUGGUGCUGCAUUUGAAACUGUCUUUCUAGAGGAUUGACGGAGAAAGCGGAAUUCCACGUGUAGCGGUGAAAUGCGUAGAUACGUGGAGGAACACCGGUGGCGAAAGCGGCUUUCUAGUUUAGACCUGACGCUGAGGCGCGAGAGCAAGGGGAGCAAACAGG